RNAcentral lists this long non-coding RNA (341 nucleotides) under Brassica napus (rape). RNAcentral describes it as "long non-coding RNA (BNAP_LNC021951)". Lineage: Eukaryota; Viridiplantae; Streptophyta; Magnoliopsida; Brassicales; Brassicaceae. The record is from RNAcentral.
AGUACACCACCACCGUCAGCGCCUCAGUCUCCGCAGCCCACGAGUUCAGAUCCGUCACCGUUGCCCCCUUCCUCCUCCUCACCUACUCCGGCUCAAACAGAAACGUCUUCCUCACCUCUUAAUUCGGCCCAAGAGACCCAAACAGUUACAAACCAAAAUACCCAGGCCCAACCAUCCUUAUCAAACCCAGAAACAACAAACCUAAACACUCAGGCCCAAGUUGAUGUUUCAAACCCAAACCCCACAAACCCGACCCAACUACAAACCUCUCUGGACUCAAGCCCACAAACUCAUAAUCCUCAAUCUUCCCCGACGAUUUUGGAUCAAACAUCUCCUUCUCC